UGUGUAGGAGACAGUGCUAGUGAUAGCUGGCACUGACGGUACUACAGAAAGCACGCUACUACGUGCAGCAGCGCGUAUACGUAGUGGCAAGCGUAUCGAUAUUGGCGUAAGCGGCGCGCAGUGGUUUCUAAGUCUGAUGGUGAAAGCCCACGCUUCAACCCGUGGAGGGGUCAUUGGAAACUGGGAGACUGGAGUGCAGAAGAGGAAAGUGGAAUCCCAUUGGUAGCGUUGAAAUGCGUAGAAGAUAGGAAGGACCACCAGUGGCGAGGCGACUUUUCUGUUCUGUACUGACAUGAGGCGCGAAAGCGUGGGGGAGCAACCAGGAUAAAAACCCUGUAAGUCCAGGCCGUAACCGAGGAGUCUUAAGGGUUAGAGGGUUUCGCCCCUUUGUGCUUGAAGUUACGGCAUAAGGCCUUCGGCUGGGGAGGAACGGCGCCAGGCUUAAAAUUCAAAGGAAUGGACGGGGGCCGCAACAACCGUGGAACAAUGUGGUUAAAUCGGAAGCAACGGGAGGAACCUUACAAGGUCUGGCCUUCCUCGGCAAACCCUAGAGUUAGGCCUCCUCUUCGGGGACCGGAGGGCCAGUUGUGCCAUGGUUGCCUUCACUCCUUGUGUUGGGAUGUUGGGUUAAUUCCCGCAACGAGCCCAACCUUUGUCCUUAGUGCCCUCCAUUUAGUUGGCCAUCCUAAGGGGACUCCCGGGGCCAAACCGGAGGAAGGUGGGGAGGAGGUCAAUUCUUCAUCCCCCUUAUGCCUUGGGUUCCCCACGUGUUCCAAUGGCCGGUCCAAAGAGUGCCAGGACCGGGAGGGGGAGUUAUUUUCUUAAACCCUUUUCCAGUUCGGAUUGUAGGUUGCAAUUGGCCUCCAGGAAGCGGGAAUCCUUGGUAAUCGCGGAUCACCAGGCCCCGUGGAAUACGUUCCCGGCCCUGGUCCCCCCCGCCCGGCCCCCCACGAGAGUUGUACCACCCGAAGUCGGGGGGGUACCCUUUGGAGCCAGCCGCUAAGGUG
This 1007-nucleotide ribosomal RNA is filed under the name Bacillus mycoides. Its description in RNAcentral is "bacterial SSU rRNA". It matches the Rfam family "Bacterial small subunit ribosomal RNA", at positions 434 to 1464 of the family's 1533-position model. The record is from RNAcentral. Lineage: Bacteria; Bacillati; Bacillota; Bacilli; Caryophanales; Bacillaceae.